Molecule: ribosomal RNA, 154 nt
Filed under: uncultured fungus
Lineage: Eukaryota; Fungi
Description: partial 5.8S ribosomal RNA
Rfam family: 5.8S ribosomal RNA
About the family: 5.8S ribosomal RNA (5.8S rRNA) is a component of the large subunit of the eukaryotic ribosome. It is transcribed by RNA polymerase I as part of the 45S precursor that also contains 18S and 28S rRNA.
Source: RNAcentral
AACUUUCAACAACGGAUCUCUUGGUACUCGCAUCGAUGAAGAACGCAGCGAAAUGCGAUAAGUAAUGUGAAUUGCAGAAUUCAGUGAAUCAUCGAAUCUUUGAACGCACCUUGCGCUCUUUGGUAUUCCGAAGAGCAUGCCUGUUUGAGUGUCA